UACGUAGGGACCGAGCGUUGUCCGGAAUUAUUGGGCGUAAAGAGCUCGUAGGCGGUUCUUUAAGUCGGAUGUGAAAUCUCAGGGCUUAACCCUGAAACCGCACCCGAUACUGGAGAACUUGAGGCAGGUAGGGGAGAUCGGAAUUCCUGGUGUAGCGGUGAAAUGCGCAGAUAUCAGGAGGAACACCGGUGGCGAAGGCGGAUCUCUGGGCCUGUUCUGACGCUGAGGAGCGAAAGCGUGGGGAGCAAACAGG
RNAcentral lists this unclassified non-coding RNA (253 nucleotides) under uncultured Euzebyaceae bacterium. Its description in RNAcentral is "contains 16S-23S intergenic spacer region". It matches the Rfam family "Bacterial small subunit ribosomal RNA", at positions 524 to 776 of the family's 1533-position model. Lineage: Bacteria; Bacillati; Actinomycetota; Nitriliruptoria; Euzebyales; Euzebyaceae. The record is from RNAcentral.